UACAGAGGGUGCAAGCGUUAUUCGGAAUUAUUGGGCGUAAAGAGCGCGUAGGCGGUCUUAUAAGUCUGGUGUGAAAUCCCUGGUCUCAAAUCAGGAAGUGCAUUGGAUACUGUAAGGCUAGAGUUCAGGAGAGGUAGGCGGAAUUCCAGGUGUAGAGGUGAAAUUCGUAGAUAUCUGGAGGAACAACAGUGGCGAAGGCGGCUUACUGGACUGAUACUGACGCUGAGGCGCGAAAGCGUGGGGAGCAAACAGG
This 253-nucleotide ribosomal RNA is filed under the name uncultured bacterium. Its description in RNAcentral is "partial 16S ribosomal RNA". It matches the Rfam family "Bacterial small subunit ribosomal RNA", at positions 524 to 776 of the family's 1533-position model. The record is from RNAcentral.